GAUGAAGAACGCAGCGAAAUGCGAUAAGUAAUGUGAAUUGCAGAAUUCAGUGAAUCAUCGAAUCUUUGAACGCACAUUGCGCCCAUUAGCAUUCUAGUGGGCAUGCCUGUUCGAGCGUCAUUUCAACCCUUAAGCCCUGUUGCUUAGCGUUGGGAGCCUACAGUACUGUAGCUCCCCAAAGUUAGUGGCGGAGUCGGUUUCACACUCUAGACGUAGUAAUUUUUUCUCGUCUGUAGUUGAGCCGGUCCCCUGCCGUAAAACACCCAAUUUAUCAAGGUUGACCUCGGAUCAGGUAGGAAUACCCGCUGAACUUAAGCAUAUCAAUAAGCGCAGGA
This 335-nucleotide unclassified non-coding RNA is filed under the name soil metagenome. Its description in RNAcentral is "partial contains 5.8S ribosomal RNA, internal transcribed spacer 2, and large subunit ribosomal RNA". The stretch from base 1 to 120 matches the Rfam family "5.8S ribosomal RNA", at positions 35 to 154 of the family's 154-position model. The record is from RNAcentral.